GACGAACGCUGGCGGCGUGCUUAACACAUGCAAGUCGAACGGAAAGGCCCUGCUUUUGUGGGGUGCUCGAGUGGCGAACGGGUGAGUAACACGUGAGUAACCUGCCCUUGACUUUGGGAUAACUUCAGGAAACUGGGGCUAUUACCGGGUAGGAGCUCCUGCUGCAUGGUGGGGGUUGGAAAGUUUCGGCGGUUGGGGAUGGACUCGCGGCUUAUCAGCUUGUUGGUGGGGUAGUGGCUUACCAAGGCUUUGACGGGUAGCCCGCCUGAGAGGGUGACCGGCCACAUUGGGACUGAGAUACGGCCCAGACUCCUACGGGAGGCAGCAGUGGGGAAUAUUGCACAAUGGGCGGAAGCCUGAUGCAGCAACGCCGCGUGCGGGAUGACGGCCUUCGGGUUGUAAACCGCUUUCGCCUGUGACGAAGCGUGAGUGACGGUAAUGGGUAAAGAAGCACCGGCUAACUACGUG
Molecule: ribosomal RNA, 468 nt
Filed under: uncultured bacterium
Lineage: Bacteria
Description: partial 16S ribosomal RNA
Rfam family: Bacterial small subunit ribosomal RNA
Source: RNAcentral